UCUGAGCACAUCGAAUCUUCAACUACAAUAAUACUCAGCACGUCAGAGCUCAGAAGCCACUUCAAGCCAGAGCCAGGUAGAGAGAGAGAGAGAGAGAGAGAGAGAUGGGGGUGACAAAGGAGCAAGUAGAAUCUUCGUUGAGGGCAAAGAUGAAUCCUUCGCAGCUCGAGGUCAUUGAUACAUCUGGAGGAUGUGGUGCAAGUUUUGCGAUUGAAAUUGUGUCAGAAAAAUUUGAAGGGAAGAGGUUGUUGGAGAGGCAUCGGUUGGUGAAUGCUGCCCUGGAAGAAGAAAUGAAAGAAAUUCAUGCUUUAUCAAUUAAGAAAGCUUUGACCCCAGAGCAGUGGAACCAGCAGCAACAGACUGAAAAAUCUCAUCCUGCAUCUUAGAAACAUGAGUUGAAAAUAGUUGUGGAACUUUGUGCUAUUGCUGAUAAGCAUGGAAUGACUUGGGAAUAUGUCUUGAGCUUGUUGAGACUUGGGUCCAAGUUUAUUUACUUAAAAAAUUUAGCGUCAAUUCUAUACGAAUUUAAAUUGAUCCAACUAACUAGAUGUGUUUUAAGUGGAAUGCAGGGGAUGACAUCUCAUUCACCAAGUUAGUCCCUGAUGGCCUAACUCUCAUGAACCAUUUGCUGGGUGUCCUAAGUAAAGUAGAUGUAUAAUGACAAAAUUGGGCGACAAUGAGUAAAGGAUAAAAUAGGCAGUUAAUACAA
Molecule: RNA transcript, 709 nt
Organism: Juglans microcarpa x Juglans regia
Lineage: Eukaryota; Viridiplantae; Streptophyta; Magnoliopsida; Fagales; Juglandaceae
Gene name: protein BOLA2
Exons: 4
Source: RefSeq, a predicted model, not a curated record